Molecule: ribosomal RNA, 504 nt
Filed under: uncultured bacterium
Lineage: Bacteria
Description: partial 16S ribosomal RNA
Rfam family: Bacterial small subunit ribosomal RNA
Source: RNAcentral
AUUGAACGCUGGCGGCAGGCCUAACACAUGCAAGUCGAGCGGUAGCACAGAGAGCUUGCUCUCGGGUGACGAGCGGCGGACGGGUGAGUAAUGUCUGGGAAACUGCCUGAUGGAGGGGGAUAACUACUGGAAACGGUAGCUAAUACCGCAUAACGUCGCAAGACCAAAGUGGGGGACCUUCGGGCCUCAUGCCAUCAGAUGUGCCCAGAGGGGAUUAGCUGGUAGGUGGGGUAACGGCUCACCUAGGCGACGAUCCCUAGCUGGUCUGAGAGGAAGACCGGCGACACUGGAACUGAGACACGGUCCAGACUCCUACGGGGGGCAGCAGUGGGGAAGAUUGCACAAUGGGCGCAAGCCUGAUGCAGCCAUGCCGCGUGUGUGAAGAAGGCCUUCGGGUUGUAAAGCACUUUCAGCGGGGAGGAAGGCGGUGAGGUUAAUAACCUCACUGAUUGACGUUACCCGCAGAAGAAGCACCGGCUAACUCCGUGCCAGCAGCCGCCGCCG